ACCCAGACUCCUACGGGAGGCAGCAGUGGGGAAUAUUGCACAAUGGGGGAAACCCUGAUGCAGCGACGCCGCGUGAGCGAUGAAGUAUUUCGGUAUGUAAAGCUCUAUCAGCAGGGAAGAAGAAAGAUGGUACCUGACUAAGAAGCCCCGGCUAACUACGUGCCAGCAGCCGCGGUAAUACGUAGGGGGCAAGCGUUAUCCGGAUUUACUGGGUGUAAAGGGAGCGUAGACGGCAGCGCAAGUCUGAAGCGAAAUGCCGGGGCUUAACCCCGGAACUGCUUUGGAAACUGAGCAGCUAGAGUGCAGGAGAGGUAAGUGGAAUUCCUAGUGUAGCGGUGAAAUGCGUAGAUAUCAGGAGGAACACCGGCGGCGAAGGCGGCCUGCUGGACCGUGACUGACGUUGAGGCUCGAGAGCGUGGGGAGCAAACAGGAUUAGAUACCCCGGUACUA
This 450-nucleotide ribosomal RNA is filed under the name uncultured bacterium. RNAcentral describes it as "partial 16S ribosomal RNA". It matches the Rfam family "Bacterial small subunit ribosomal RNA", at positions 329 to 797 of the family's 1533-position model. The record is from RNAcentral.